AAUAAUUGGAUUCCGUUGCUUCUAACAAAUUGUCUUGUAGUGCCCACCUUUUCGGUUAAGUUAUCAAGGUCUAGGGGAACCCUUGUGCUUUGCUGCAUUUGGUCCUUUUGCUACGACUGCCUUUUACUUGCUUCAAAGCAACACCAGUGAGCUCCCAAUCACAUAUACAACACUUUCAGCAUCAGCACUUGUUGGUUUCACAACAUCACUUAUCCUGUUCUGUAGUCAUUUCCACCAGG
RNAcentral lists this unclassified non-coding RNA (239 nucleotides) under Hevea brasiliensis (rubber tree). Lineage: Eukaryota; Viridiplantae; Streptophyta; Magnoliopsida; Malpighiales; Euphorbiaceae. The record is from RNAcentral.